Molecule: ribosomal RNA, 119 nt
Organism: Pteropus vampyrus (large flying fox)
Lineage: Eukaryota; Metazoa; Chordata; Mammalia; Chiroptera; Pteropodidae
Source: Ensembl
CACUAUGGCCAUGCUACCAUGAACAAGCCCGAUCCUAUAUGAUCUCAGAAGCUAAGUAGGGUCAGGCCUGGUUAGUACUUGGAUAGGAGACCACCUUGGAAGACCAGGUGCUGUAGGUG